GCCACGGUGGUGGAAUUGGUAGACACGCAGGACUUAAAAUCCUGUGAUAGCAAUAUCGUGCGGGUUCGAUUCCCGCCCGUGGUACAA
RNAcentral lists this transfer RNA (87 nucleotides) under Candidatus Magasanikbacteria bacterium RIFOXYB2_FULL_40_13. RNAcentral's name for it is "tRNA-Leu". It matches the Rfam family "tRNA". Rfam says of the family: Transfer RNA (tRNA) molecules are approximately 80 nucleotides in length. Their secondary structure includes four short double-helical elements and three loops (D, anti-codon, and T loops). The record is from RNAcentral. Lineage: Bacteria; Candidatus Magasanikiibacteriota.